CCAACAGGGAUUGCCCCAGUAACGGCGAGUGAAGCGGCAACAGCUCAAAUUUGAAAUCUGGCCCCCGGGUCCGAGUUGUAAUUUGUAGAGGAUGCUUUUGGCGAGGUGCCUUCCGAGUUCCCUGGAACGGGACGCCACAGAGGGUGAGAGCCCCGUCUGGUCGGACACCGAGCCUCUGUAAAGCUCCUUCGACGAGUCGAGUAGUUUGGGAAUGCUGCUCAAAAUGGGAGGUAUAUGUCUUCUAAAGCUAAAUAUUGGCCAGAGACCGAUAGCGCACAAGUAGAGUGAUCGAAAGAUGAAAAGCACUUUGAAAAGAGGGUUAAACAGUACGUGAAAUUGUUGAAAGGGAAGCGCCUAUGACCAGACUUGGGCCCGGCGAAUCAUCCAGCGUUCUCGCUGGUGCACUUCGCCGGGCACAGGCCAGCAUCAGUUUGGCGCGGGGGAUAAAGGCUGUGGGAACGUGGCUCCCCCGGGAGUGUUAUAGCCCACUGCGUAAUACCCUGCGCCGGACUGAGGUACGCGCAUUGCAAGGAUGCUGGCGUAAUGGUCAUCAGCGACCCGUCUUGAAACACGGACCAAGGAGUCGUCUUCGUAUGCGAGUGUUCGGGUGUCAAACCCCUACGCGUAAUGAAAGUGAACGCAGGUGAGAGCUUCGGCGCAUCAUCGACCGAUCCUGAUGUUCUCGGAUGGAUUUGAGUAAGAGCAUACGGGGCCGGACCCGAAAGAAGGUGAACUAUGCCUGUAUAGGGUGAAGCCAGAGGAAACUCUGGUGGAGGCUCGCAGCGGUUCUGACGUGCGAAUCGAUCGUCAAAUAUGGGCAUGGGGGCGAAAGACUAAUCGA
RNAcentral lists this ribosomal RNA (841 nucleotides) under Akanthomyces xixiuensis. RNAcentral describes it as "partial large subunit ribosomal RNA". It matches the Rfam family "Eukaryotic large subunit ribosomal RNA", at positions 65 to 938 of the family's 3401-position model. Lineage: Eukaryota; Fungi; Ascomycota; Sordariomycetes; Hypocreales; Cordycipitaceae. The record is from RNAcentral.